RNAcentral lists this ribosomal RNA (445 nucleotides) under uncultured bacterium. Its description in RNAcentral is "bacterial SSU rRNA". It matches the Rfam family "Bacterial small subunit ribosomal RNA", at positions 958 to 1398 of the family's 1533-position model. The record is from RNAcentral.
AACGCGAAGAACCUUACCAGCCCUUGACAUGUCCGGUAUGGGCGGGGGAGACCCCACCCUUCAGUUCGGCUGGCCGGAACACAGGUGCUGCAUGGCUGUCGUCAGCUCGUGUCGUGAGAUGUUGGGUUAAGUCCCGCAACGAGCGCAACCCCCAUCUUCAGUUGCCAUCGGGUAGAGCCGGGCACUCUGAAGAAACUGCCGGUGACAAGCCGGAGGAAGGCGGGGAUGACGUCAAGUCCUCAUGGCCCUUAUGGGCUGGGCUACACACGUGCUACAAUGGCGGUGACAGAGGGCGGCGCGGCAGCGAUGCCCAGCCAAUCUCGAAAAGCCGUCUCAGUUCGGAUUGCUCUCUGCAACUCGAGAGCAUGAAGUCGGAAUCGCUAGUAAUGGCGCAUCAGCUACGGCGCCGUGAAUACGUUCCCGGGCCUUGUACACACCGCGCAUA